AUUCGAGGACACCGACGGAGAAGGCAGCGGUAACCCAGCCUCACCGCUGUUCGAUGGCGAUGCUGCGGAGUCGAUCUCCAUGGGAGGCAAGAAGGAAGAGAAACUUCCUCUGUCUCUCUCGAUAGGCUGCCGGACGAAAGGAAGUGCGAGGGGCGUCGACGUUGGUUGACUCGGUGGUGAGUCCAAUGGAGAGAUCCCGUGUUGGGAGGAGCGAGUUGUUAUUA
RNAcentral lists this long non-coding RNA (224 nucleotides) under Linum usitatissimum (flax). RNAcentral describes it as "long non-coding RNA (LUSI_LNC000276)". Lineage: Eukaryota; Viridiplantae; Streptophyta; Magnoliopsida; Malpighiales; Linaceae. The record is from RNAcentral.